This 651-nucleotide long non-coding RNA is filed under the name Sorghum bicolor (sorghum). RNAcentral describes it as "long non-coding RNA (SBIC_LNC005774)". Lineage: Eukaryota; Viridiplantae; Streptophyta; Magnoliopsida; Poales; Poaceae. The record is from RNAcentral.
UCCACCAGCCGGCCAGGGUGGCAGGCCCAUGUAGAAAGCCCAUCUAAAAGCCUGAGUAUAAAUACCGCGAGCUAACCCUAACCCAACACAUUCAUUCCUCUUUCUCUAGGACACCAGCCGCCACUUCUUAGCCAGUGCGACUCACGAGUCCGGCGCCCUACGACUCCGACUAUCCAUGCUACUCCGUCGCCGGCCAGACCUCAAGACCACUUGUUGGUCCACACGGUGAGGCCGUGGGCAGCGCACAGCACAUCACGUCGGAGCUGCAUGGACGCAAAGGCACCAACAAAUCUUCAAAUCCGAUGCCAUGUUCUAGUCCUGUAGAUAUCUUUGGGGUUUGAUCCUGGUAUUCUUUCAUUAAAAUAUUUGGUCUCCUAUCUCCCUAUCUCCUUCUGUUACAACUCCUAGGAUUGGAUUCAAGCAUGUUGCGUCUCCUACUCUCCUCGGAUCUUCUGUAUUUUUUUUCAAAUUUAGCCAUGCCAUGGAUUAUUCAAUCAAUGUUGUUGUUUUGCUAUCACUGUGUGCUGUGUAUAUUCCUAUUGAAUUUCUAAUGACUACAAUAUUUAAUUUAAGACACGAUUUACACGGGGACGGGGAUCCCCAUCGGGUGCAAAAUCCCCGCGGGGAUCGGGGAUGGGGAGAAAACGUCCC